GACAGCAGCAGCCGCGGUAAUACAGAGGGUGCGAGCGUUAAUCGGAUUUACUGGGCGUAAAGCGUGCGUAGGCGGCUUUUUAAGUCGGAUGUGAAAUCCCUGAGCUUAACUUAGGAAUUGCAUUCGAUACUGGGAAGCUAGAGUAUGGGAGAGGAUGGUAGAAUUCCAGGUGUAGCGGUGAAAUGCGUAGAGAUCUGGAGGAAUACCGAUGGCGAAGGCAGCCAUCUGGCCUAAUACUGACGCUGAGGUACGAAAGCAUGGGGAGCAAACAGGAUUAGAUACCCCAGUAGUCCCUGUCUCUUAUAA
This 306-nucleotide ribosomal RNA is filed under the name uncultured bacterium. RNAcentral's name for it is "partial 16S ribosomal RNA". It matches the Rfam family "Bacterial small subunit ribosomal RNA", at positions 505 to 809 of the family's 1533-position model. The record is from RNAcentral.